Molecule: transfer RNA, 564 nt
Filed under: Bradyrhizobium sp. Tal1449
Lineage: Bacteria; Pseudomonadati; Pseudomonadota; Alphaproteobacteria; Hyphomicrobiales; Nitrobacteraceae
Description: partial 16S-23S ribosomal RNA intergenic spacer
Rfam family: tRNA (bases 74-146)
Source: RNAcentral
GCGUGAGGUCGGAAGUUCAAGUCUUCCCAGGCCCACCAUUUUGAUCGAGUGCGGAGCAUUCGUCUUCUGGUACGGGGCCAUAGCUCAGCUGGGAGAGCGCGUGCUUUGCAAGCAUGAGGUCGUCGGUUCGAUCCCGUCUGGCUCCACCAGAUGGAAUUGAAGCUCGACAGUGCCUCGUUCAUUUCGUCCGCGAAACAUCACUUCGCACUCAUUGGUCCGGAUGGACGGUGACGUGCGUGUUUUCUGACAUCGUAAAGAGGAGAUCGAUCCGAGUUUGGAUCUGCGAAGCAAUUCGCGGGUGCCAUUCCUAAUCUCCAGAUCGUUUUCGGCGCUCGCGCAUCGCGGCUCAUCGCAAGAUGGGUGGGAUGAGCGAGUUGUAAAACGAUCUUUGUAGCGAAGCUUGACCGCCUCGCUAUCGGGCCGAUCUUACGAAGCAAGCUGGUCUUUCUAGUCAAUGUCCGGCUGCGCAAUCGCAUUCAUCGAGGAUGCGCGCCUGGGGCUUCGGUCUUUGGGCAAUUGUGCAGACAACAUUCUGCCGAGUGUGUGGACAUUGAUAAUGAGAGC